GUACCUUCGAAGGUAAUACCCUCGAAGGUAAUAAAUCAGAUACACGAGUGAUACACGUGUACAUGUUUGGCCUACUACCUUCCUUCAUAAAAAACGUGUACGAAGGUACACUACACGCAACACUAGAUGGAGUGUUGCAUCCGUCCUGUCGUCGCGCGACCCUCCCUCCCGCGCGGCCGGGUACUGUAGCGACAGUACCUUCGAAGGUACACGUACAGUACCUUCGUAUCUGAUUCAGGUCUUUUCGUACUUCCGGAAGUGUGUACACGUACAGUAUGAUACUGUAAUACUGUCCAAUACUAUCAACUUUCGGAUUUCGUCGAGUACGAUACGUCACUUCCUGACUAAAAGCGCUGCCAGAUUUUAAGUGUUACCCGAGUACGUCCCAUCGAAAAUCCGGACUGAAUGCGCUGUGCGGUCGUUUUCGUACAAAAAUACUUGUAUAUACAACUUACCGUGUACACGUACAGUCUAUCCGGACUUGCCCUGCCCUGCUAGGUUUAUAUUUGGCCGAAAGGGCGCCGUAGUGAAGCGCGGGGAGGAGGUAGUCAAGAUAGAUGUGACAAAGUAUUUAUCGUUCUCGUCGUCGUCGUCGUACGAUAACCUUAUGGUGAAGCGCCAUUUCUGUUCUAGCCGCGCGGCGAAUCCCCGCGACUCGGACCGUUUUUCGCGCUUUCGUCCGCGGCGCGGAUCACCGCCGACCAAAACAUGAUUUCCUUCUUCUUCCACGAUGGCUCCGUAGGCGAGGGCGCGGGUGGCGGAGGCAUCGUGCUCGCGGCGGCGAGAGCUCGGCUUUCCGUGGUCGAUCCGCCCACGCACUUCUCGCGCGUUCACCUUGCCGCCUCGUCGUUCGUGGCAGCAGCGGGCGCGCGUCCGAGGUGUGACCGCUCGCGAAACGAUGCCACGUAAGCAAACAUUUGUAAGAUAAGAUAUUCGUAAGCGUAAGACUGCACAUACGUGUACGUGUACACGUAGGGCUACGUGUAGUGGACAACUGUAGUACUUUCGAACUUUCAUAUCGUUGCGCAUGUUUACGAACGUGCAGACGUGUACAACUACACAAUGGUACUCGUACUGUGCCGUACAGUAGCCUACACGUACAGUUGUUGAUAAUAUGAUACUGAAGCUCAGUCAUCAAUUGGCUACAGUGUAUCUGAUUUUUGGACUACAGUACGUGUACACGUACACGUACACGUACACGACUCGUCACGUACACCGCGAUACAGAUCUACCUUCGUACUAGUUGUACACACCGCAAAUGUGUUUGUAUUUAUCUUCGUACUCGUACAGCUGUACAUGUACACGUUGUUCACUGUAAUUGAUGAUACGAGUACUCGUACGUGUAUCAUAGUCAUAUCUCGAAGAGGAACCGACCCGUCUUGCGUCUCCCGCUCUGCGUGCCACCCGCCCGUGCACUUCCAUGGGCGCGAGCUCGAGUCGCGCGCGCGAGGACACGCCGAGCUCGAGAAGCGCCGCGACCGGCGCGGACGCGGACGCGGACGCGAACCCCACCCCCCCCGUGCGAGGCGUCCUCCGCGCCGAGGCCCGCGGACCGUCGGCGUCGAAUCCUCGCGGCGAGCUCGGUCGCGCGCGUCCUCCGCCCGCGCCUCCGCGGACGCUCCCGCUGUCGCUCCCGGCGCCGAUGCCUACGCACGACGCCCCCGCUCGAUGGCCCGCGCCGCUCAUCAUCCCCCCCGCGAUCGCCGCGGACGCGAACGCUCCGGACGCUCUCGUCUGUCCCAUCACGCAGUGCCUCAUGACCGAGCCCGCGCUCGUCACGAGCAGCGGUCGGACGUACGACCGCGGCGCGAUCUCGCGGUGGAUCGCCGAGCACGGCACGGACCCGCUCGAUCGCGCGCAUCGGCUGACACUCGCGCAGCUCGCACCGAACCUCGCGGUGCGAGCGUUCGUGGAGGACUUCGUGCGCUCGAAGAACGGCGGCGUUCCCGUGGAGACCGCGCCCGUCGAGGCGUCGCCGCAAGCGCCCGCGCCCGCGCCCGCGCCCGCGCCCGCGCCCGAGGCGUCGCCGCCCGCUCCCGCGCCGCCGCCGUGGAACGACGGCAUCGCGAACCUGAACCUGAACAUGAACGACGACGACGACGACGACGACGACGUCCUCGGCGGGACGCUCGUCGUUCGAGCGCUCUACGCCGAGCCGGGGACGACGCCCGAAGGAAAAUAUUUCGCGUUUUCGACGUCGCGCGUCGAGAGACUCGUGAACGCGUGCCGCGGACCGGACGACGCGUGCGGUUGGGCUCUUUCCUCGCGAACGACGGGAGAUAACGACGACGACGACGCGACGACCGCGCCGGCGACGGCGCCGCCGCUUCCCUGGACCGUGAAAGACGGCCGCGGCGCGGUCGCGCGCGUCAGGCGCGUGUCCUCGUCGCGCCGGUUCCCAUACGACCCCGUCCGCGCGGCGCGCGCCAUUCCUUGAGGACUUUGCCGUUCCCCGCGCGACCGCGUUCGAUGCUCGCGCGGCGCGCGACGUUUAUCGAGGACGUUCUUCGCUGCCCGCGCGCGUUUCGCUCCGCCCAAUCCUCGGCUUCGAUCCUGACGCGCCCGCCGCGACGCCUCGCGACUUCGACUGACGCGCCCCUGAACUCCGCCCCGGCGUCGCUUCGUACGGGCGAAUACCCUCCAGGAACGAGCGCACGCGCCGCGAAGACGGCGCGCUGUUGCUCCCCUCGAAUCGCGACGGCAUCGGCGUCGGGUGCGCGUUCCGUUCCGUUCCGUUCCGUUUCGUUCUGUUCCGUUUCGUUUCGUUUCGUUUAGCCCACUCCCCGCACGGUACGACGUCGUCGUUCCGCUCGAAAUUCCUCUCGACGCAUACUGUACGCCCCGCGCCCUAAAAACGAAACGCAACCAACGCGACUCGCUCACAGGUGCUGGAACCCGUGCGAGUACGCGAAGCCGGACGACUUUCGCGCCGGGGACGUCCUCGUCAUUCUAGGUGCGCCCCACACACUGGUCCUCAAGCGACCGCGUUCGCGUGGUGCACGCCGUUCCUUUAGGACUUCUCCCGCGCGCGUUUCUCUCUGCCCACACCUCGGUUUCGAGCCCGACACCCCGCGACGCCUUUCAACUCCGACCGACGUCGCUUCGUAUGGAACGACCCUCAGAUCUGACGAACCCGGCGUCGUUCGCGCCUCCUGCGCUCGGGCGCGCGCUGCGCUGCGCGGAGAGAACCGCGAUCACGGAGACGGGGUGGAACCGUCCCGGGUCGGACGUGCGUUUCGGUCGGUGCGGGCUCGUCGGCGCGUGGUGGAAAGCGCUCGAGAUUGAGUUCAACGUGUCGCUCGCGCCGGAUGCGCCGGACGCGCCGGACGCGGAAAGGCCUGUCCCCGUCGUCGUGACGGCCCUUCGAACGGACGCCCCGGACGAUCUCCCUGGACGGACGGUGUGGAUCAAAGACGAGGACGGCGUGUUCGUCGAGCGCGCGUUCGAGACGCGAGACGGGUUGAUGACGCUUCGCGAGCCCGCGGCGACCACCGCCGCGCGCGUUCGGUUCGAGGCGCGUCUCUUUCACACGCAACCCCGUUUCGUAAAAGGAUGGAUUCCCCCCCCUCUUGCAUCUCUUCGCCUUGUGCUACGCGUACCCUUUCAACGUGACCCUAUCGUUUGACCGUUGAGACGUUCAACUGACCGACGCGUUCGCCCGCCGCCCGCGAUGUACUUCGUCUUUCUCCCGCCAGGACACGGAUCUGCACAAAGUCGGUGGUCUGAGCACAGCGCGCGGCGGCGGGGGUUUGCACGUGGAGGUCAUCGGGUUUGCGGGCGGAGGCUCGGUCGGCGCGGUGAAGAAGGUGGGAGGGGUUCGUAUGGGCAAACAGGAUGACGGCGACGGCGACGACGGGAGAGAGGGGGACCGCGGAAGACUCUCGACGCGAAAACUCGGCGACGGCGCGACGACUGGUCGAAGAGGCGAGCUCCCGUCCGUGUGAGGUAAUGUCGCGACUUAGCGCGUGUGGAGGUGUCGGUGGCUCCAAUGUAACAAUGAAAUUUAUGCAGCUCGUCAUCGUAAAGGUCGCCGACACCGGAGCACGUGACAAUGCAAACGCCCGCGCGGCGCCGAGGCCGCCGUAGGUGUCCUAAACUGCGGAUUUAAUUUCCUGGUACGUGUUCGUAGAGAAAUCAAGUUUCCAUGCGCGUUUACAUCGACACGUGUCAACUCUCUCGCCAAAAUCAACCGCGUUAAGGGGUGUUCGCGUUGUAUGGUUUUUCAUAAGGUUAUCGCCGCACCAUCCAGCCGUCGCGCCCAACGCUUCGCUCUGGACGUCGCGCCACCGCCACAAUUAUCCUCCCCCAGCGCCUGCGGGUGGACGAACGCGCGGAGUCGCGGCUGUCAAACGCUGGACGACGAACGCGCGGCCGGCGGGAGAACGAAAAGACGCGCAAAGAAAAUAGUUUAUUUUGUUUCGGAAACAGACAGACGCGCGAGAGGACUCGGUCACGAAAUCGUCCACCGGACCGGCGCGCACCUUAAUUUCGGCCAAGACGUCCAACGCGCGCGAUCUCGCGUUCUCCCUCGCGCGCGCGGACGUCCCCGCGACCGGGGAGCUCACCGCGUCAGCACCGGAGAGCCGGAUCAACGCCGCCGCGAGGCGGUCGAGACGCGCGCAACGAGACGGCGCGUCGGACGCGGACGCGAACCGUCGCGACGAUUCGAGAAUACGAACCGUCGCGUACAACUCCUCCGCGCGGUCGAGCCAAUCCACGACAUCGAUCAGAUCGUUCGCGGACGCGGCGUCGGACAUCCCGCGCGCGUUCCGCGCGCGCGGCGGCGCGCGCUCGAGGUUGGUCGCGGCGACGGCGGCGGCGAAAAACUGGGCGAAGCGAUCGGGAACGCGUCGGUCAGUCGAACGUCUCACCGGUCAGACGUUGAAAGGGAAGCGCGGGUGAAGAAUGACGACGGACGGGGAAAGUCCUUAAGGAAUGGCGUUCAUCGCGCGAAUGGGGUCGUAUGGGAAGCAGUCUCACCGCGUCCGCGGCGUCGCGAUGCCGGCCGUCGACUGCUCAGAGAGAGACGGCGCGAUAGGGGAUAGAGGGGGCGGACGGGACAGACGUUUCAAUUCGGUGAGUGAAAACGCCCCGCGAGGCUGUGCGAUGCGAUGCGAGGGACGAGACGCGUCGCGAGAGUGGCGCGGCGGCGGAUGCGGCCGGAGGGACGAGAGAGAAACGCGCGCGACGCGAAAUAUCGAGACGCGGCGGCGGCGACGACGGCGGCGACGACGACGACGCACCUAACGCGGCUUCUCCUCGCGCGUCGUGCGCUCGCGCGUCGUCCGGGUCGCGCUCGGAAGCGACGCGCGCCAACGCCGCGCGCGCGUCCGGGUUUUGCCGCGCGCAUCGCUCGUUGUGAAGGAACGCGAUCGCUUCGUUCACGAGCGCGGCGGGCGGCGGCGCCGCCGCCGUCGUCGCGUCCGCCUCGUCGCCGCCGCCGCCGUCGUCGUCGUCCCAUCCCACCCACCCGCGGUCGUCAUCGCGCCGUCGUAACUCGUCGUACGCUCUCAACAGCCGGUUCGGGACGUCCACGCACGCGCCGUCGUCGGCGGGCGUCGACGACGCGUCCGACACGGAAGGACGGUUCCUCGCGAUUCGAAUCGCGUUGGCGCGUUUUUCCCUCCUCGCCUGCGGGGCGGCGGAUGGCGGGAUGCGAUUGGUCAGCGCGUGAUCAGAUUUGAUGACAUGGCAUAUCGGAUCGUGUGAAGAAAAGACUCGCUCACCCCGGAGGCGAGCGGGCACCGUCGCCGCGCGAACGCCGCGGCGUCGAUCUCGCCGCGGGAGACGAACAACGCCGCGGCGUCUUCGAGCCAUUCGCACGCGCGAAUCGUCAGAGCGUCUUCCUCUGCGAUGAGGAGCGCGUCGGCGUAGGACGUCCGCAACUCCGGAGACGCGAGCGCGGCCUGGGUUCCGGCCGCCGCCGCCGCCGCGAGCGUCGCCUUCUCUUCGUCGAACAUGACCUGAUACAACGCGUUGAUCGCUUCCAUCGCCACCUUAGGGGCGUUCCACGCGGAAGCGACGUAGGGGUGGAGUUGAACGGCGUCGGUUGGAGUCGCGAGGCGUCGCGGCGUGUCGAGAUCGAAACCGAGGGGUGGACGGAGAGAAACGCGCUCGGGAAAAGUCCUGCAGGAACGGCGUGCACCGCGUGACCGGGGUCGUACGGGGGACGGUGUAAUUAGGACGCGCCUUGCGCGUCCACGCGCACGCGAGCGCGCGCUUCAGCGCGUCGAUCCCCGCGCUCGCGUCGCCGAUGUUCACGAGACUGAGGAUCGUUCCACACAAAAAAAGGUUCAUCGGUCAGUUGAAAGGGGACGCGAUCAAAUGUUGAAACCGAGCGGUGGGUGUUAAACGUCUGUACAGAACGCACCUGAGCCCGCGGUAGUACAUCGGCUCGCAGUACCCAGGCUCGAUCGAGGACGCGGCGUCGAAGCGCUCCAACGCGAGCGCGUAGUCCUUCUCCCGUCGAGCUGAUCCUCACGCGGAGUUGAAAGGCGUCAGUGGUGGAGUUGAAAGGCGUCGAGGGCGGGUAUUGAAAGCGAGGCGUGGGCGGAGAGAGACGCCGGGAAAAGUCCUUAAGGAUCGGCGUUCACCACGCCGACGGGGUCGUAUGGGAACCAGUGCGCUUCUCUCACCAAGUAUCCCGAGGUUCACCAACGUUUUCGCGCUGUUCGGGCACGUCUCGCGCGCGGCGGCGAAAAGCGUCGCGUCGUUCUUCCACGCGAGGUUCCGACGCGUCGUCUUCGCGGCGGCGAGAACGAGCGCCGUCGCCGCGAGCGCCUUGGAGGCGACGGACGACGCGAACGACAGGCGUCGUCGCCUUUUUCGUUUUCGUUUGUUUUCGCUUUCGAGUCCUCCUCCGCCUCCGCUUUCUCCUCCUCCGAGACUGCUUCCCAUACGACCCCGUUCGCGUGGUGAACGCCGAUCCUUAAGGACUUUAUCUCCUCCGCCUCCGCUUUCUCCGAGACUGCUUCCCAUACGACCCCGUUCGCGUGGUGAACGCCGAUCCUUAAGGACUCCUCCUCCUCCUCCUCCGCUUUCUCCUCGACCGGAGAAGCUUCCGCGGGGAGAGUGAGACAGCGCCUCGAGAAAGUCCGCGGCGAGGACGCACGCGCCCACGGACGGGACGUACAGCAACCGCUGCGUAGGAAGUGAGAAAGUCCUUGAGAAACGACGCGCAACGCGCGAGGGGGGUCGCACGGAAAGCAGUCUAAAACGCACCUCGCCUAUGUAUGUGCCGACGUAGAAGAAGACGUUCGACGCGGGGAGGAAAGGAAUUACGACGAACGAUACCCAGAACGCUCGAACGCGUCGUCGUCUGAGCGUCGCCGCGACCGCGGCGGCGUUCUCUUCGAUCGAAAUCGGAACCUUCACCUUCGAACGGCCGCGUCUCCGGAACGGUUCUAACGGCCGCGCCUGAACGACGGGAAAAGUCCUUAUUAGAGUAGACUUAAAAACGACGCGCAACGCGCGAACGGGAUCGUAUGGAAAACAAUCUAAAACGCGCCUGAACCGCCGCGACGACGACGACAGCGUACACGCACGCGGAGAAGACAUUUCGAGGGUCCGACACCGCGCGCACCGGCUCGACGCAACGGAACGACCAGUCCGCGCUGUGAGCGACGUCGGGGCGGAGUUCAAAGGCGAGGCGCGUCAGUUGAAAUGAGUUGAAAGGCGGGCGUCGCGGUCGACUGUCGAAAUCGAGGGAUGACCGGGCGGAGAGAGACGACGACGGGAAAAGUCCGUCCUCAGAGUCCUUAAGGAACGGCGUUCACGGCGCGAACGCGGUCGCACGACGGGCGGCGUGAACGCGGACGCGCCUGAGCCGUCGCGGCCACGCGAGCAACCACGCGUAUCUCGCGUGGAGGUGAAACAGCGACAGCCGGCGCUCGGUCGCGUCGGACGCGAACGCGAUCGGGUUCUCGACUUUUCGGUAAAUCUUCACGAGCGACGACGCGCCGCACAGAGCGUCUCGCGCGCGCAGAUACGCGAACGCCGCCGCGACGGACGGGAAGAGUCUCCACCACGCCGCGGAAGCGACGCGCGUCUUCAUCUUCUUCUUCUUCUUCUUCUUCUUCUUCUUCUUCUUCUUCUUCUUCUUCGCGUCGUCGUCGUCGUCGUCGUCGUCGUCGUCGUCGUCGUCGUCGUCGUCGUCGUCGUCGUCGUCGUCGUCGUCGUCGUCGUCGUCGUCCGAGCGGGUCGGCGAGACGAUGAGGAACUCGUACGCGGCAUACACCCCGAGCGCGGUUAUCCUGAGUGGACGCGAGAUCGCGAGUCGACGUUCGGGCUCGGUCAGUUGAAAGGCGUUUUAGGGUCGAGCGUUGAAAGGCGUUUUAGGGUCGAGCGUCGAAGCCGAGCGCGGGGUGAAGAGCGACGACGGACAACAAGGCCAGCCGAGAGACGAGACGAAAAACGAACGACGCGCGACCGACGCGCGCACGCGAUCGCGUGGCGCGGCGAGCGAGCGGUCGCACCCGGACUCUUUGCACAGGCACGCGAGGAGCUGAGGUUCGUUCCGUACAAAAUAUGUUCAUCGGUCAGUUGUUGAUAGGGGACGCGAUCAAAAGUUGAAACCGAGUUGUUCAAAAGUUGAAACCGAGUUGCGUGUGAAAAACGCGUAUCGUGCGGUACGCGCCUGAAAAACCGCGGCGAGCGCGGCGCAGACGCGGCCCCGGCUCCUCGCCCGCGCGGCGUCCCCGUCCCCGUCCCCGGCAUCGACCCCAUCCCCGUCUACGACGCGCGAGGUGCGCAGAUUGCGUCCCUUACGACCUCGUUCGCGCGGUGAACGCCGUUCCUUGAGGACAUCUUUCGUCUCCGCCUCCGCGGCGCGCGCGGAGGAUACCUGAGGGUCGUUCCGUACAAAAUAUGUUCCUCGGUCAGUUGAUAGGGGACGCGAUCAAAUGUUGAAACCGAGGGGCGGAUGAAAAGCGUUUGCACACAACGCACCUCCGCCUCCGCCGCGCGCGCGUAGGAGAACACCCCGAGGAGAAAGAAAAUCGCGCAGAGCAGGUCCGCGCGGCCGACGGCUCCGGCGACGGCUGCGGGCGGGUUCGCGCGUCGGUCAGUCGAACGUCUUACCGGGCAAACGAUCGAUCGAUCGACCGAUUGUUGAAAGGGAAGUCGCGUGCGAAGAGAAACGAGAGAAGGGAAAAGAAACGUCCUCGAGAAGGGCCGGCGUGAGAUGAAGUCCUUAAGGAACGGCGUUCACCGCGCGAACGCGGUCGUGUGGGGACCAGUGCGAGGAGAGCGCACCUUCGACGUGCGCCGGAUGCGACGCGAAAAACGCGCCCGCGAGGAACGCGCGCCGACGUCCGCACGAGUCCGAGUCGGAGUCCGAGUCCGAGUCCGAGUUGGCACCCCCCGAGUCGGCGCCCCCCGAGUCGGCGCCCCCGUCGGCGCCCCCUUCCCCGCCGACCCCGAACGCGAACGCGCGUCCGCCGGCGACGUGCCGCGCGACGACGUACCUGAAGACGGACGGCGGGUCGCGAGGGCGGGCGUCGACGUUCGACGGUCAGUCUCUCGCGCGUCUCGUCGAGGACCGCCGCAGCGAGGACUAAGGGCCGUUCUAUACAAGCGAACGUCGGGGUGGAGUUGAGAGGCGUCAGGUGGAGUUGAAAGGCGCCGAGGGCGGGUAUUGAAAGCGAGGGACCCUGGGCGAAGAGAGACGCCUGCGAAAGUCCUUAAGGAUCGGCGUUCACCACGCGAACGCGGUCGUAUGGGAACCAGUGUAUAGAACGCACCUAAGAACGUCCGUCCUCGUGUUGACCGGAACCGACGAACGCGGUACGUUCACCACGCGAACGGGGCUGGAAGGGGUCGGGGAGUCGCACGGGACGCGAUCGGAUGAGAUGGAAAACCGAACGACGCGACGCGGCGGGGCGGGCGGGCGCGCACGCGAGGCACGUCGCGAUCGCGUGACACGAGACGUUUCCGAGGUGGAAUCCGAACGGCACCGGGCGCGCGUCGCCCUCGGCGCCGACGAGCGCGCGACGCGGCGUCGGCUCCGCGCCGCCGACCGCGGCGUUGACGCGAAACGAGAGCACGGUCAGCGGGCGCCAGGAUUUGUGCGAGCCCGCGUCGCGCAGAUCUUGGCCCCAAAAAUCGCGCGUCCAGAACGCGGGGCCGACGAGGACGUCCGCGAGCGUCGUCGUCGUCGUCGUCUUCUCCGCGGCAUCGCAGGACGACGCGUCUGUGCCGCGCGAUUCUUCGGCGUCGCAUGCCGACGCGGCGUGUGUUUCUUCUCCCUCGGCGGCGUCGCGCGCGGCGGAUUCGCGCGUCGCGCGGUCGCGCGCGGUCGCCGCGAGGACGCUCGCGUCGUGCGCGCGAACGGUGACGUCGCCGCCGCGGUAGUUCGCCGCGUCGACGACGUCCGCGUUGGACAGGAUCGCGUACUGAUCGUCGUACGUGAAGUCCGCGUGGAGGGUGUUGAGGUAAAGCAGAGAGGAGAGGACGCACAGGACGCACGCGUCGAGCGCGGCGCCGCGCGACGCGCGCAUCGGAUGAAGUCGUUUGAGAAGCUCGCCGGUGCCGUCUUUUUCACGCCGUACAAGACUGACUUCUGCUGCAGGUCAACUGUACACGUACACGUACACGUAGCCCUACACUACACGUACAGUUAGAGCUCAGUUUUUGUGUAAUAAUAAUAUCUACACAGUACACGUUACAGUACACGUUACAAUCGACGACAGUACACGUACACGUGUACAGUAGUGUACGUGUACACCACGUUACACGUACGAAACGACGCAUCAUGGGCCACAUCUCCGUAGCGCUCGUAUCCGCCAUCGGAGACCGCAUCGCUGGCGCGCCCAUCUCGUACGCGCUCAGAACCUCACGUGACUCUGAAAACUUCCACGCGGGCGCGGCAGCGCAAAUCCUUUUUAUGGAGCCCGACACUGCUGGCGAUUUCCACAUCGCCCCGGCUCCGUGCGCUCGUGAGGCUCACAUGGGUUUCAUGAAUCCCGUCGUGGGGUUGCUUACUACGUGAGAGGAUUGUUCGUAGUGCGGUCUGCUCGCUUCUAGAUCACAUGUUUUACCCGGAUGGGUUAGAGCUCAGUCUUUUUGUAAUCAGAUCCACACACGAAAGUACACGUGUACUCGUACACGUUCGUAGAUCCACGUUACGUGUACACGUGGUCAGAUCUACACACGUAGUCACGUACACGUACACGUACGUGUACACUUACACACAAUUUGUACACCAAACUUAUGUCUUGUACGACAGUCUGGUAUUUUAUUCCCCCGCGCCCCGCUCCCGCGCCGGCGGACAUGGGGUUGAAGGCGUCCAAGGCGAAGAAGAAGGCUGGCGUCCACGGCGCGACCGCCAGCUCCACGCCCGCGUCCUCGAAUUUGUUGCGCGAACUCGAGAUCGCGAACGCGAGGCAAGUCGCGACAGCGGUUGACGCGGACGCGAAAGCCGAGCUGGACGCCGAGGAGAUUGAGAUCGUCUCCGCGGCCUCCCCGGGCGUCGGCAUCGUACUUCCCACGGAGCGUUUGUUGGUCGACGACGGCGCGUUCACGGGCGAGGUUGAGAAGCUCAUGACGUUCCGCCCGACGCUGAAGAAGACGCACGGCGACGCGUACAUAAAAGAGCUCAUACACCAGAUCAAGGCUUCGAAGGAGAUGAUGGGCACGAUGCUCAGGAGAUUCAACGUCGAGAUCCGGGCGGCGGGCGAGCGGGCAACCGCCGCGGAGGCACUCGCCAAAGCGAAAGACGCGGAAAUCGCGCAGUUGGUCGAGGCCCUGGAGCAAGAAUCCGCGGCGGCAACAGCGGAGUCGAACGAGUCGAUGUCUGAGCUCGAUAAAGCGCGCGAGUCCCGCGAGGCACUGGAGGCACUCGCCAAAGCGAAAGACGCGGAAAUCGCGCAGUUGGUCGAGGCCCUGGAGCAAGAAUCCGCGGCGGCAACAGCGGAGUCGAACGAGUCGAUGUCUGAGCUCGAUAAAGCGCGCGAGUCCCGCGAGGCACUGGAGGCACUCGCCAAAGCGAAAGACGCGGAAAUCGCGCAGUUGGUCGAGGCCCUGGAGCAAGAAUCCGCGGCGGCAACAGCGGAGUCGAACGAGUCGAUGUCUGAGCUCGAUAAAGCGCGCGAGUCCCGCGAGGCACUGGAGGCACUCGCCAAAGCGAAAGACGCCGAGAUCGCGCAGUUGGUCGAGGCCCUGGAGCAAGAAUCCGCGGCGGCAACAGCGGAGUCGAACGAGUCGAUGUCUGAGCUCGAUAAAGCGCGCGAGUCCCGCGAGGCACUGGAGGCACUCGCCAAAGCGAAAGACGCCGAGAUCGCGCAGUUGGUCGAGGCCCUGGAGCAAGAAUCCGCGGCGGCAACAGCGGAGUCGAACGAGUCGAUGUCUGAGCUCGAUAAAGCGCGCGAGUCCCGCGAGGCACUGGAGGCACUCGCCAAAGCGAAAGACGCCGAGAUCGCGCAGUUGGUCGAGGCUCUGGAGCAAGAAUCCGCGGCGGCAACAGCGGAGUCGAACGAGUCGAUGUCUGAGCUCGAUAGAGCGCGCGAGUCCCGCGAGGCACUGGAGGCGGAAGUCGUGACGUUGACAGAAAAGCUCGAUAAAGAGAAAUACUUCGGCAGGGCCGCGAAUGAGGGCGCCGCGCCCGCGGGGACGAACCCGUUCGCGUCGAGUGGAGGCAGCGGCGGGAGCGCUCCGGCUCGCAUCUUCAAAAAAAAAAAAGUCAAAGAGGGAUCCAUGAUAGUAGGUGCUGGUUUCGCUUCUUCGUCGGACGGCCGGGACAGGAAUCCGCCGAAGAAAGCGAAACGACCGCCCAGGCGAGGAGGUUUAAACGGCGGCCACAGCGCGGCUUCCGGUGCCCCGAACGCGCCCGCGGUUUUUGGUGCCCCGACUGGCACGGGAACAACAGCAGCCGCUUUUGGGGGCGCGUCUCCAUUCGGCGCGCCCACUCCUGGCGCGUUCGGCGCGGCUCCAUAUCCUUUCGGCGGCGGCGCGCCGAACCCCGCGCCCGCGCUGGGAGGUUUCGGCGGCAGCGGCGCACCCGCGCCGUCGCCGUUCGGGGGGGCAGUCGCGCCGGGCGCGAGCCCGUUUGGUGCCCCGAACGCGUCCGCGCAGUCGUCAACUCAAACGAGCACGCCUUGGGGCGCGUCUUCGUCGACGCCCACGCCAGGAAUCAGCAGCUCGGUGCAAAACGCGUGCGCACACUGGAACCGGAGUAAUUGCAGGUACAGCGGGCGAUGCCGCUCAAGACACGUGUGCUCGACGUGCGGGGACAGCUCGCACAAAGCGGCCCAGUGCCCCCGAGGACCGGGGUCGCUCGCGGGCGGAGGUGGCGGGUUCUCCCCAACGCGGGUCACAGAUCCGUCGCUUGUGCCCGCGAGUUCACGACACGCAAUCAUGCAGCACAUAUGCGCGAUGUCAUCGAACGUCGGGAGUUCCGUGGAAGAGCUCCGUCUCCAGAGCAAGUAAAACCCUCCUGGCGCGGUGGCGGGCACGGGCGCGUUUGGGUUGAGCCCGAACGCGAGUGGCAGUGACGAGGGCGAUUAAAACGCGGGGGCGAGGCGAGGCGCACCCAACCGAGAAAUUUCGUGUGAUCUUUCGGUACGUGUACCUGUAGACUUAGUUUAAAACCUGUACGAGUAAGUCGUUCAUCCUUGGACGCGUAUCAUACAUCUUGAACGCACGCGCGCUCCUCCUCGAUCUUUCUCAUGAUCGAAUCGAUCUUCUCGAGCUCGGCCGUCUCCGCGUCGCCUUUCUUCCUCCUCUCCGCGUCCUCCAUCGCAUCAGGUUGACAACUCCGCAGCAUGAAGCUGCAGCCUCUCCCCACGACGUCGCGUUCGUUCACCGCGUGCGUGACCAUGUUCGCGGCGUACCCCUCCAUGACCGCGAUCGAUCCGCGCGUCAACGGCACUGAGUGUAUCCUUUGGCCUUCGUACUGACCCUUCGCGCCGAAGGAGAGGACGCCGUCGCCGAAAAAUCGCGCGGACACGAUCGGGCGCUUGAACAACGCGCUCGGGUCCAUGUGCACGCUCAGGCGCGCUUUCGAUCUCGCGUACAGAUUCACGACGGCGUUGUCGAUCACGACGUUUUUGUCGAUCGCGCCGAUGAUCUUCGCUCUGUUGCCGAGGGUGGAGUGCACCCACGACGGUAUCGGCGGCGCGUCCGCGAUGAGCUUCGGCGCGGUCACGGAGUCGUACGUGUACCGGUACCCGAAGAAAACCUUGAUUCGACCACCGUUGAGCCCCACGUGCACGUGAGGGGCGUCGCCGGACGCGCGCUCGCGAUCGAUCAACUCCGUGAUCGCCUUCUCCGUCAUCUCGAGCUCGUCAUCAUCGAACGCGUGUAAAUAUUGCGUCACGCCAAAGUACUGCCCGUUACUUCGAAAGCGCCACACGCGCUUCGUCGAUUUCCGCUCGCCGGCGUCGCCGUCGUCCGCGCGCCACGCGAUCUCCUCGUCCUCGGGGUAUAUCCCCGACGACGCGGACUCGCGCUCGGACCCGACCGCGGCGGUGACGCGCGCGGCGCGCGACGCGUCAUCGCGGAGAUACCCCGCGAGCACCGCGUCGGGGAGCUUCUCGACGACGUCCCAGGCCACCCAUUUUUCCGACGUUUUCCGGCCGGCGUCGGACUCGAACCGCACGCGCGCGACGAGGCGUGAGGGUAAUUGUCCAUACGGGCGUCUCGCGUCGUCGUCGUUCCACUCCUCCAGGAGCGUCGUCGCGAGCGCGAGUUGCUCCCACCCGAGGCAUCCCGCGUUGUCCGGGCACAGGUUAGACAGCGCGAGCGCGUCCGCGGGGGUGUCGCCCUUCGCGUAGACGCGGCAGCGCUCGCACGUCCACGGACAUCCAUCGCCCCCCGCCGCGAACGCGUGCGCGUCUCCGGGGAUGGUGGACGGCGCGAUGCACUGCACGUGCCAGAAUAAACCGCAGUCGCCGCAGCGCAACACGACGGGCGCGCCGUGAUGGGGUUCCCCCGGCGACUUCUUCGAGUGGUGCCACUCCACCUCGCGGCACCGCGCGCACGACGGAUACUUGCUGUAGGGUGUGCUGGGCUCGAGGUGAAAUCUGGAACGUUUUUUUCGCUUCGUCCUCGCCGUCUCGCGCGCCUCUUCCUCGUCGCUCGAAGACAAGUAUGAUACGAAGUCGUCGCCGUCCUCUAUUUCAAUGUCGUCGUCGCGAACCACCUGCAGCGCGAACGUGUCCAGCCGCAGCGUCGUGCCCUCUGGCGUCGUCUCUUCACCGUUGACGAGCACUUGAAAGUCAAAGUGCUUCGCCUCAACGACAACGAGCGCCCCCGUGCGUCUGUACGCGCCCGCGACGUUCUCGCGCUCGGCGCCGUCGACGUCGCUCGCGAUCGGCGCGAGCCGUUCCACCGUGAACGACGUCGUCUCCACGCGCUCUUUCAUCUCCGCGAUGCCGUACUCAUUUUCCAGAACGACUGAACGACGCACCUCGGUCACGAGAACAAUGUCCUCGGACGCUAACAUCUUCUUCACGCCGUCGAUCACGACGUACUGACGCUCGUCCGACGCUCGCAUCGUCCUGCCGCUGUCAGUAGUCUCUGGAAGCGACGUCAUAGCCCACGCUUGUUGCGGCCUCGGCUCGAUGAACGCCGCCGGGUGGUUCCAAGGGAUUAAAAAGCCGUUUCCGCUCGCGUCGUUCGCGCAUCUAAACUUCGCGGCGGCUCGAGCGACGUGUUCGCACGCCGAAGCGGGAUGACUGAAUAUUGCGUCGCCACAGUUCGCGAGGCUCCAUCCUUUCCACUUGCCACCAAUUCCCAGUUUCCACCUCAUGUCGACGCCCUCCUCGUGCCAGUGGCAUCCCACGUUUGCUCUCGCGUCGCGGUCCAACAGCACGACGCGCCAUCGCGCCGGGCGGUCGUUGCACAGGUAGCUCUCGUCCGCGGCGAGGAGCUGCACGUACCACCGAGGCAAUCCGGUGCCGUGCUCGUACAGUGCCCAGACGUCCCCGGGCUUUCUCGACGCGAGCCUGCGCUCGUGAGCGUCCUCAUCCCUGUCCUCGGGCGGAUUCGAGAUGCGCCGGACGCCAUCAGCGCCCGGGGCGACGUCGUCGAACGCGUUCAUCGCGAGCUCGUUCGACUCGGUCGGAAAGUCUUUUUCCGCGUCCGCGCGCGCGCGCUCGGUCGCCGCGGGCUCGACGUCCGCGACGAUCGCGCGCUCGUCCUCGUCCUCGUAGCGCCAUCGCAGGACGACGGAGGGUCGUUGUCCGGCGCGAUCGACGUCGGCGAGAUCCGUCGCGUCGUCGUCGUCCUCGAGCGCGAGCGCGCGCGGUCGCUUCAGAGACGCCUCGCGCUGAGGCGGCGUCGCCAUGAUGACGUCGGCGCGCGUCGUCUCCGUCAUUGUUCCGGGCGCGGGGCGCGUCGGCGCGUGUCGUCGAGGGUUGGAUGUCUCGGAGGGCGAAGUGUCGGAUCGAAUGUUGGCACACUGCAGUGAUGACAAAUGCUACCGAAGGCGAGCGCGGGGAAGUGCGCGCGCGGCGUCUCGGAGCGAACGAAACGAACAACCACGCCCAGAUACAGUUCCCAGAUUUAACAACCUCCACAAAUCUUUUCAGGUCUUUUCGUACAGUACGUGUACAGUACUGUACGUGUACGUGUACACGUACUUCUGGAAGUAAUAAAUACAGUUUCAUAAAAAAUUUCAAUGUCUCGCGCUGUAAUCUCGGAUUCGUAGCUUUUAUGUACAAAAUCUCGUGUAUGCAAAUCAGUCUCACUCAAAAAAAAUAUGUACACGGUUCAUCGGCUUGAACCCGAGCUUGACCGGGCAGGCCCGAGCUUGACCGGUCAGGCUCCACCUCGUAUGUACCUUCGUACAUAAUAUGAUAAAACUGGGGCGGGCUACUACACGUGUACUCGCAGGUCUUCUUCUUCUUCUUCUUCUUCUUCCUCUUCUCGUAUGUCGUACAGUCAGUUCCAUCCGGAGCGCGACGCGAAAUAUUUUGUUCGCACCGGCUCAUCCCUUCUCUCUCGCGUCGUCGUCGAAGGCUCAUCGCUCGAAGUACAACCCGACGCCUCAAUCCCAGUCGUAGUACUUCGCGUCGCGCUGAAUCGCGGCGUCGAUCUCCUUGUUCGCGAUCGGCUGCGCGAUCUCGAUCGUAUCGCUGUGCAUCCCGAACGCCGAGCUCUCCCACUCCGGGUCUGGCACGGGGAUGCCGUUCUCCUUCACCUUGAGCUUGCGCGGGCGGAAGAAAAUCUGCGCCCCGAGCGCGUCCGGGCUGCCGUUCUUCGCCUUAAACAGCGCGUAGCACUGGAACUCGUCCCACUCUUUCGAGCCCGCGACUUUUUGUUCGAUGCCGCGCCCGACGAGGACGAUGUGCGCGAGCUUGCCGACGCCCAUCUGAGACGCUUUCCGCCCGCACGGCCCUUUCCCCGCGAGCGACCGCGCGAGCUCGACGCACUCCUCGAGCUCGUCCGACGGCCACUGCGUCGAGAACUCAGCGGCUUUCCGGCUCGGCGCGGCGCCGCUCGCGGCGUCGCUCCCGACGCCCAUCGUGAACGUCACGGUGAGACCGCUCGCGUUCGCAUCCGUGAGCACCUGCGGCGGGAACUGGGAGAGGUGCGGCUCGAACCCCUUGUCUCGCGCCGCGACGUCCUCCGGCGACUUGUUAAUUAAGCCGACCGUCUGGAAAACCUGUUCGCCCUCGUCCAACUGCGAGACGUCGACGAUCCCUCUCGGGCGCACGCUCAGCGUGAAGCUGUGCGUCCCCUCACCCGCGGUUUUGAGCGCCUGCGAGAACUUCGCGACGAGCGAGUGCCCGUACGCCUCGGACUCCGCCGUGUUCAUCUUAUCGAGGUCGCCUUGGUACAUGAGCGGGAGGUGCACGAAGGCGCAGUCCGCGAACUUG
RNAcentral lists this long non-coding RNA (17816 nucleotides) under Micromonas pusilla. RNAcentral describes it as "long non-coding RNA (MPUS_LNC000040)". Lineage: Eukaryota; Viridiplantae; Chlorophyta; Mamiellophyceae; Mamiellales; Mamiellaceae. The record is from RNAcentral.